Molecule: transfer RNA, 71 nt
Filed under: Cordylochernes scorpioides
Lineage: Eukaryota; Metazoa; Arthropoda; Arachnida; Pseudoscorpiones; Chernetidae
Description: tRNA-Gly
Source: RNAcentral
UGCAUCGGCCUGGAAUCGAACCCUGGCCGCCCGCGUGGCAGGCGAGCAUUCUACCACUGAACCACCAUUGC